CGUUGGUAUAAACCAAAUUGCUUGUGCGUCACUGUUGUUGAAUUAACAGAAAGUGUACAUAUCGUGAAAUUUUGUUUUGCCUUGCAGAAGUACAUUAAAUGUGAAAAAUCAUUGUCGAAAUCAAGUAAUUUACUAAAUGUGAAACCAAAUUCGUGAUAAUUAAGGUCCAAAAUAAGUAUUCGUGACGUGAGUUUAUGUUGUUCAUGCCUUGAUCUGGCAGAUUUAUGUACCUAAAUAUAACCCAUUUUUCUUCGGUUUUUGGUAGUGUGUCUAA
This is a long non-coding RNA of Bradysia coprophila, 274 nucleotides long. The record is from RefSeq and is a predicted model, not a curated record. Lineage: Eukaryota; Metazoa; Arthropoda; Insecta; Diptera; Sciaridae.